RNAcentral lists this ribosomal RNA (468 nucleotides) under uncultured bacterium. Its description in RNAcentral is "partial 16S ribosomal RNA". It matches the Rfam family "Bacterial small subunit ribosomal RNA", at positions 28 to 507 of the family's 1533-position model. The record is from RNAcentral.
GACGAACGCUGGCGGCGUGCUUAACACAUGCAAGUCGAACGGAAAGGCCCUGCUUUUGUGGGGUGCUCGAGUGGCGAACGGGUGAGUAACACGUGAGUAACCUGCCCUUGACUUUGGGAUAACUUCAGGAAACUGGGGCUAAUACCGGAUAGGAGCUCCUGCUGCAUGGUGGGGGUGGGAAAGUUUCGGCGGUUGGGGAUGGACUCGCGGCUUAUCAGCUUGUUGGUGGGGUAGUGGCUUACCAAGGCUUUGACGGGUAGCCGGCCUGAGAGGGUGACCGGCCACAUUGGGACUGAGAUACGGCCCAGACUCCUACGUGAGGCAGCAGUGGGGAAUAUUGCACAAUGGGCGGAAGCCUGAUGCAGCAACGCCGCGUGCGGGAUGACGGCCUUCGGGUUGUAAACCGCUUUCGCCUGUGACGAAGCGUGAGUGACGGUAAUGGGUAAAGAAGCACCGGCUAACUACGUG